Molecule: ribosomal RNA, 400 nt
Filed under: uncultured delta proteobacterium
Lineage: Bacteria; Deltaproteobacteria
Description: partial 16S ribosomal RNA
Rfam family: Bacterial small subunit ribosomal RNA
Source: RNAcentral
CCUACGGGAGGCAGCAGUGGGGAAUCUUGCGCAAUGGGGGAAACCCUGACGCAGCGACGCCGCGUGGGUGAUGAAGGCCUUCGGGUCGUAAAGCCCUGUCAGGUGGGAAGAAACAUGUUGAUGUGAAUAACAUCAACAUCUGACGGUACCACCAGAGGAAGCACCGGCUAACUCCGUGCCAGCAGCCGCGGUAAUACGGAGGGUGCAAGCGUUGUUCGGAAUUACUGGGCGUAAAGCGCGUGUAGGCGGUUGAGCAAGUCAGAGGUAAAAUCCUUCGGCUCAACGGGAGAAGUGCAUUUGAAACUGCUAAACUAGAGUACGGGAGAGGAGAGUGGAAUUCCCGGUGUAGAGGUGAAAUUCGUAGAUAUCGGGAGGAACACCGGUGGCGAGGGCGGCUCUC